ACCAUUUCAGAGGUACUGUCACUCCCAGCCGUAUCAUAGCACUGAAAUAACAACACAUAUUUUAAGAUUUCUUAAGCAAAACGCAAGAUUUUACGAUAUUUGUAUUUGUAUUAUAGAAAAUAACGUUUUACUACAAGGGAAUACAAUGCCUUUUACAUUUCAAGAGGGGAAUAAGACGUCGAGUAUAGCUAACUGGAGCAUCGUUGCAUUGGUGAUUUACACUAUGGCUUUGCCUGCAUCUAGUAUGGAUGUCCUGUACCAUAGCCAGAUCACUGUCUUGAAUGGCACCGUGGUGAGUUUCCAGUGCACAUUCACCUCCUGCUAUAAAAUGGAUGUCAACAAGUUUGCCAUGAACUGGACCUACCAGGAGAACUUCAAUGCGACUGAGGAGAUGUUUAUGACCUAUAAGAAGGGGAUGGUGCCCUUGCGAACAGAGCAGUUUGGUGAUCGUGUGCAGUUUGUGGGCAACCUGGACAAGAACGACUUGUCCAUCACCCUCUCUGAUGUCCAGCUGUCAGACGAAGGCAUCUACCACUGCUACGUCCGCAACCCACCUGACCGUAUCCUGGGGCACGGAGAAACCAAACUGUUUGUCGUCACUGAACUGCCUCCCCCGCGGGACUCAACCAUAGCAGUGGCGAUUGGGGCAUCUGUGGGAGGGGCGCUGGCACUGCUCAUCCUGUCCAUGGUGGUGGUGAAGUGUGUUCGGCACCACAAGAAACAAGAGCUCAUUUCUGAUGAGCAGAAGAUAGAGGAGGAGGGUAAACUGGACCCUGAGGGGGGCACCGAGGACGGAACAAAGCAGCUAUAACCCGACUGCUUGGUCCCGGAGGCCCAAGAUCCAUUGGAGCCCGAACUUCUCCCACCCUCACACUGAAAAGCAUUCCUACCUGAAGAUGUACAGUGACCCUGCUUGAAUCUCUGUCUGUCGUCUGUCUCACCGAAGCCCAAUCCCUCCUCUUGUACCAUCCAACAAGAUACCGUUAUGGGAGGUCCCUGCCACCAGACAUGCCAACCACGAAACCCUGCCUCUGUUCAGUUGGCCAUCUUAUCUCGUAUCUUCUCUGACGGGAAGCCGCAAAAGGUGGAGAACAUUGAUGGAAGCCUACAAACACUUAGUUCUCGCUUCUAAUUCGUCUUCUUAGAGAGGCAUGAACUAGAGUGAAUGGAUGGUUUGGCCCUGAUUACUAGGAAGGCUCCUGCUCUGCAUGCAACCUUUCCUGCCCUUCUCUCUUCAGAAAAUAUCUGAAACACUCUCUUGAAUCUUUGAGUCUCUCUCUCUCUCUCUCUCCCUCUCCAUUAUGCCCCAUCCAUCUCUUUCAUUUUUUGUGUCUCUCUCCAGACCUUCCAGGAUUGCAUGAUUUCUGGAAAAAAGUCCCUGCAUAUUAUGUGAGGUCUGACAAAGUUGAUAAAUCAUUGCACUAUUUUUGCAUAAACAGUCAUGUUAUUGAAUUAUUAUCACAAAAACUGUCUUUCUAAUUCUCUCACCCUCUGUCUGUGUAUAGUAUUAAAAUUGCGGUUUUCGACCAUACAACUGAAUAGCUAAAGGUUUUACUUCCAAAUCAUGAUUAUUUCUUAUAUUUCUCUCUUUCUUCCUUCAUCACAUUACGGUGUAAAUGGCUGGGCCGUCUGACAGCUUGUGUGUGUGUCCAAAUGACAACCUUUCUGUGUGAGAACGGUGUUGAUGGAUUUGUGUGUCCUGCUUUUUAUGUACAGGGUAUUAGCUUGUGUGUGUGUGUUUUGGUGUGUGUGUGUGGAUGGGUAAAAUGUAUUUGACUUUGGUUCAAGCAAGCAUCCCUUUCUUCAAAUGCAGAUAAGUUCCCCGAACUGAUAGAUUAAGGAUAUCAGUCUCUUCUGAACCCUUGCUUGACUCCAAGAUUAUAUAUUUUAACAUGAACGGUUCACUUAUACAUCGAGAUAACAAACAUCACUAUUACUAUUAAUGGCAUUAAUAAUAAUACCUUGAGGCCCAAAUAUCUAUACAUCACUCUGUGAUGUUGUAAUGAUCGAUGUGGUACAAAGUGCCCAGUCACCAGUGUAUCCCAGUAGUCUAUCUAUAGUCACCAUUACACAGCACCAGAAUCUCUGACCUGACUGAGUACACAGACCCACAGAUGACACGUGAUACACACAAGAGCCGUACAUCUCAUGCAGCUGAGCACUUUCAGGGAUAAAACACAAGAAAGUAUGAUAGUUACAAUUAUUUUUUAACCAACUAGGUUUUAACCAAAACGUUCCAAGCAGUCCUCUUAAGGAGUGCUUCAAUUCCUGCCACUCUUUAGGUGUGUGGUCCUCACUGUCUUAAACUAAAAAUGUUUGAAUGUAUGGGACCUCUUUUGUCUGAGGUAAUGGUUGUUCUUUGGAUGUUACAUAUAUUUAGCUAAUUGUUACUAGUAUUAUUGUUUUUAAUAAGUUUACUUUACAAACUACUUUUAAAAUAGCUAUUCAGUUAAAUACACGUUUUCUAUUCACACUUGCAAUGUUUCAGAAGUAGCUUAAUUUACAAUGUUCAUCCUGUGCUAACAAGAGGGUCCUCUUGUAAAAGUUGUCAGUUUUUAUACGGUACCCAAGACCAGUUUAUUUAAUCUUAUCAUGGGAAGAAGAGCAACCACAUAUCGAAUGCAAUGAGGUAUUGAGUAAAAGCCAACUUGGGGCAUAAAAACUUUCAAAUGCCUCUUUUUUAAUUUGACAAUAAAGAACAGGUGGCUCAUCAAUUAUGUCAAUAAACUACUCCCAUUAACGAGAUAUGCAUGUAGCAUCCAGAGUAAAGGAACACAGGCUCUGCUAUUACUCCUUCAGUAUUUGUAUACGUUAAUUUCACAGGUCUGUUUUGGACUGAAGCUGUAGAGCUCUGUAAGAAACAUGUUAAUACAGUAUGAUGGUGGAUUGAUCGGCUAUACUGAUUGGCCAAAAGUCCUAAUUAUUUUCUGCCCAUGUCGGCCUUUAAAUUAAGCCCCAAUUCUCCAGAAGUACAGAUAAACUGUCGCUGAGCAAUAUCACAUCCUUAAAUGUAUAGGAUUAUAUAAGGUAUUUAAAUAGUCAAUCUUUGUCACAUGUUGUCUUCAUUUUAAGCUUUCUGUCUAAAAGUCUGAGCUUUGUAUUUCCCAACACCAUGUUGGGGAGUGAAUUGCCUAUGGGAGUGAUUAUAGUUUAUGACUGUGUUCAAAGGCAGAAUAUGCCUGGGUUGCUCAGAUUUGUCUAGUUUGGUUUAAAGAGAUUUAGUGGUCACGCUGAUCCUGUGUUCAGGGGUGUCCUACCUCAGCUGGGAACAGUAUCUGCAUUCAUUCAUCUACAUGCAUAGACUGCCGUUAUGCCAUUCACUGCCAAAGCUUUUGUCUAAUCAGAUUUGUUGUAAUUUAGAUUUACUUGAGUAUUGUGUUUUGAUAUUCCUUAAUUUUGUUCCACAUAAUCAUGUUAAUUUGUGUUGUGACUUCAUGGUUGUUCUCAGUGUUAAUCAAGUGGUAGCCAUCAUUUCUUGAUCUUUGGUGAGUUGUCUUUGAGUUUGGGAGCUCACCUCUGAAACAUCACUAAUCAAACAGUGCGAGGUCAGUGCUGAUUUAACCCUGGAGGUUGUGCAUUCUUCAGUCCUUGAAUGUGCAAUUUUGUGACCGUGGUGUAAAUCAGUAGCGUGUCUUAGACAUCGGUUAGAUACAUGGUAAGAAUUAUUGUAUUGUAUGGGGAGCUUGUUGUUACAGAUAUGAGAUUAUAACUAUCAUUCAAACUUCCCAAAGUAAAGAAGGUACCUUAAGAAUGAUAAAAUAUGUAAAAUGUAGAUUGUAUUGUAUUUUUCACAAUCAUAACCCUACUGAGGGUGGUUUGAGGACAGAUGAGGACAGAGAAGCAGAUGUUCUAGAAAAUAAUAUUGGUAACCUAUUGAAAAAACCAUGACCUCCAUUUUCCAUGGCAUUCAUGUUGACAACUAGGCUAGAGGGAAUGCUGGGAUAGCUACCUAGGUUAGUGAAGGACCCAGUGUCAUGUGUCUUCCUAUCUGUGUGUGUUCAUGCAUGCUUUACUGCAGUGUUCCACUGCGACGCAUGGCUCUAACCAGGCACAGAACACCAAAAAGGCAUGCACUGCACUGUGUCUCUUAAGAAGAACCUGUAAUCAUUAUUGUGUUUUGAAAUAAAAUGAACUGCAGUA
Esox lucius (northern pike) is the source of this 4140-nucleotide RNA transcript. It is a transcript of the gene named sodium channel, voltage-gated, type II, beta, with no coding region annotated. The transcript is spliced from 6 exons. The record is from RefSeq and is a predicted model, not a curated record. NCBI's taxonomy places the organism in Eukaryota, Metazoa, Chordata, Actinopteri, Esociformes, Esocidae.